UACGUAGGGGGCGAGCGUUGUCCGGAAUUAUUGGGCGUAAAGAGCGUGUAGGCGGUUCGGUAAGUCUGCCGUGAAAACCUGGGGCUCAACCCCGGGCGUGCGGUGGAUACUGCCGUGCUAGAGGGUGGUAGAGGCGAGUGGAAUUCCCGGUGUAGCGGUGAAAUGCGCAGAUAUCGGGAGGAACACCAGUAGCGAAGGCGACACGCUGGGCCGUACCUGACACUGAACCGCGACAGCAUGGGGAGCAAACAGG
Molecule: ribosomal RNA, 253 nt
Filed under: uncultured bacterium
Lineage: Bacteria
Description: partial 16S ribosomal RNA
Rfam family: Bacterial small subunit ribosomal RNA
Source: RNAcentral